GAUGAACGCUAGCUACAGGCUUAACACGUGCAAGUCGAGGGGUAGCAGGGUAGCAAUACCGCUGACGACCGGCGCACGGGUGAGUAACACGUAUCCAACCUUCCCAUAACUCGGGGAUAGCCUUUCGAAAGAAAGAUUAAUACCCGAUAGUACUUUUUCAAGGCAUCUUGAGAAAGUUAAAGAUUUAUUGGUUAUGGAUGGGGAUGCGUUCCAUUAGAUAGUUGGUGAGGUAACGGCUCACCAAGUCUUCGAUGGAUAGGGGUUCUGAGAGGAAGGUCCCCCACAUUGGUACUGAGACACGGACCAAACUCCUACGGGAGGCAGCAGUGAGGAAUAUUGGUCAAUGGGCGAGAGCCUGAACCAGCCAAGUAGCGUGAAGGAUGAAGGUCCUAUGGGUUGUAAACUUCUUUUAUAGUAGAAUAAAGUGAUCCACGUGUGGAUUUUUGUAUGUAUACUAUGAAUAAGGAUCGGCUAACUCCGUGCCAGCCGCCGCGGUAA
RNAcentral lists this ribosomal RNA (498 nucleotides) under uncultured bacterium. RNAcentral's name for it is "partial 16S ribosomal RNA". It matches the Rfam family "Bacterial small subunit ribosomal RNA", at positions 28 to 523 of the family's 1533-position model. The record is from RNAcentral.